Molecule: transfer RNA, 76 nt
Filed under: Candidatus Firestoneibacteriota bacterium
Lineage: Bacteria; Candidatus Firestoneibacteriota
Also listed under: 1 other name
Description: tRNA-Pro
Rfam family: tRNA
About the family: Transfer RNA (tRNA) molecules are approximately 80 nucleotides in length. Their secondary structure includes four short double-helical elements and three loops (D, anti-codon, and T loops). Further hydrogen bonds mediate the characteristic L-shaped molecular structure. tRNAs have two regions of fundamental functional importance: the anti-codon, which is responsible for specific mRNA codon recognition, and the 3' end, to which the tRNAs corresponding amino acid is attached (by aminoacyl-tRNA synthetases). tRNAs cope with the degeneracy of the genetic code in two manners: having more than one tRNA (with a specific anti-codon) for a particular amino acid; and 'wobble' base-pairing, i.e. permitting non-standard base-pairing at the 3rd anti-codon position.
Source: RNAcentral
CGGGGCGUAGCGCAGGGGCUAGCGCGCCUGCUUCGGGAGCAGGAAGUCGGAGGUUCAAUUCCUCUCGCCCCGACCA